RNAcentral lists this ribosomal RNA (446 nucleotides) under uncultured bacterium. Its description in RNAcentral is "partial 16S ribosomal RNA". It matches the Rfam family "Bacterial small subunit ribosomal RNA", at positions 338 to 795 of the family's 1533-position model. The record is from RNAcentral.
CCUACGGGAGGCAGCAGUCGAGAAUCAUUCACAAUGGGGGAAACCCUGAUCGUGCGACGCCGCGUGGAGGAAUGAAGGUCUUCGGAUUGUAAACUUCUGUUAUGUGGGAGUAAAUCAAAAAGAUAGUACCACAAGAGGAAGAGACGGCUAACUAUGUGCCAGCAGCCGCGGUAAUACAGAGGUCUCAAGCGUUGUUCGGAAGUACUGGGCGUAAAGCGUGCGUAGGAUGGUUCGUAAGUCGUGUGUGAAAGGCGCGGGCUCAACCCUCGGACGGCACAUGAUACUGGGAGACUAGAGUAAGGUAGGGGGAACCGGAAUUCGCGGUGUAGCAGUGAAAUGCGUAGAUAUCGAGAGGAACACUCGUGGCGAAGGCGGGUUCCUGGACAUUAACUGACGCUGAGGCACGAAGGCCAGGGGAGCGAAAGGGAUUAGAUACCCGAGUAGUC